Molecule: unclassified non-coding RNA, 327 nt
Filed under: soil metagenome
Description: partial contains 5.8S ribosomal RNA, internal transcribed spacer 2, and large subunit ribosomal RNA
Rfam family: 5.8S ribosomal RNA (bases 1-120)
Source: RNAcentral
GAUGAAGAACGCAGCGAAAUGCGAUACGUAAUGUGAAUUGCAGAAUUCAGUGAAUCAUCGAAUCUUUGAACGCACAUUGCGCCCCUUGGUAUUCCGAGGGGCAUGCCUGUUCGAGCGUCAUUAUAACCCCUCAAGCUCAGCUUGGUGUUGGGGCCUGGCACUGGCAGCCCUUAAAAUCAGUGGCGGCGCCAUCUGGCUCUAAGCGUAGUAAUUCUUCUCGCUAUGGAGUCCUGGUGGAUGCUUGCCAUCAACCCCCAAUUUUUCUAUGGUUGACCUCGGAUCAGGUAGGGAUACCCGCUGAACUUAAGCAUAUCAAUAAGCGGAGGA